UUAAUUGUUGUUAUCUUUUUGUUUUUUUUACUCUUUUUGGUUUUAAAUUGUUAAUUAACAGAAAGAUUAACUCAUCUACUUUUCUCUCAUCACAUCAACUAAUCUUCUGAUUAUGUUUGGCAUCCAUCUUGUCUCUUUGUUUGGGUUAACCAAUUGGUUGAAAAGUUGAGGGAAACGAGUUGAUUAAAAUGAGUCAGAUUAUUUUGUUAACUAUAUUAAUCAUUUAUGGUUUUAUUAACAUUUUGAUGUUUCUGUUUUGUUUUUAGUGAUAUUUUGUCUUUUUUUCUGCCUCAUCAUCAUCAUCAUCAUGAACUUUUAAUGUUCGAAAAAGAGAAAAUUCCGAAAAAAUUUAGUUUAAUCAGUGAAGAUGAAGGAUCCAAAAUGGCGAUCAAGUGAAAAACGAAAAUUUGUUUAUUCUCUAUGUAAACAAGACUAUGGAAAAGGAACAUGGGCCAAUAUAUUUUAUACAUGGAAAAGAAACAAAUGAUGAUGAAGACAUAGUGAUGGUGGAGAAAAGGAGUAAGAAGGAGGAAAAAGAAGAGGCAAUGGAACAGAUAAUUUGGAUGAAGAUGAUUUUGUAAGGACAAGAGCAAUGAGGAUAUUGUACCAUGUUAAACAAAGAGAAUUCUGGAAACAUGAAAGGAUUUGUUAAAGGUCUUUCUUGCCAUUUAGUAUAUAAAGUCUUCUGUUUUUUUUGUUCUCUUUUCAUCAACAAUUUCUAUUUUUGUUUAUUCAACAGAUAAGAUAAAAGCUACUAAAUAUACAUAAGAACAAAGUUUCAAUGUAAAUCAUCAUCAUCAUCAUCAUCAGAGACUUGAUUGUUUCUACUCAUGCCACUUACCCAAUAUUUAAACUUGAAGGUGAACCAUGAAUUUCUCUGUUCUUUUGCUGAUGAUGAUGUUUAUCUUUCCAAGUGUAUUAAUUCACAGAAUGAUAAAUCAAUGGAGGUAAAAGUCGCAAAGGAAAAAAGACAAAAGGAUGACAAGUCAAAUUGUUGGAAGAUCAUAAAAAUCUUGACAAUAUAUGCAAUCCACUUGACCAAAAGUCAGGUUAAAUCAACAAUUGAAGACUCUUAGUAUUUUCAGGAUUGAUGAAGAAAAACUUGAUCAUCAUCAUCAUCACACUUGACAAUUUGUUUACCAUCAUCAACGAAAGCAACAACAACAACAACAUCAACAAUAAUGGGCAACUAAUAUAACUGUUAAGAGGUGAAAAAACUAUCAACAUAUAAUCUACUAUUACAUCAACAACUAGACUAUUAAUGUCCACUACUGGUCAACUUAUGCUGACCAGUUUUCACAUCAUUUAUAUAACUCUUGCUCCAAUAGUAUAGCUGAUUUUAUGAUAUUUACCUGUAACCAUCAUUAGAAGGAUAAAAACAAAGUUUAACUUGGAUUAUUAUAAGGAUUAAACAAACGACAAUUGACAAUCAAAUGGUAUAAUUUGGAUGGUUUUAAUUUAUUUGAUGAUGUUAUUUAACUUAUGAUGAUGGUAAUGAUGACAAGAAGAGGAUACUGUUAAGAUAUAUUGAUACUAAAUACAAGUUGACAGUUAAAUCUGUAUAAUAGUAAAAUGUCAACUCGUGAACUUAAUCAAUGGUUGUUAUUGAUAACAAAGUCUCGAUACAGUUCGUACCAACAUGUUACAUGGAAAUCAGGGAGAUAGAGAGAGAGAAGGAGAUAAUCAAUGAACAAGCAACAAAUGAACUUGGAAAUAUUUUGAUGGCUAACACUGAUUUCUAUGGAAUCAAUUUAAGGAAGAACAAGGAAGACGGAAGACAAAAGAGAAAAUAUAGAGAAUGAGAGAGAGAGAAAGAGAGAGAAAGAGAGUCCAAAGGAUAAGUGAAGAAGAAAAAAUCUCAAGAGAAAUGAAUAGUGACAAAGGUAAACCUGAUAAAGGAAAGAAAUUAGGUAAACGAGGCAAGACACCAAAUGAGAAGUAGCAAGAAUGAAAAAGUACUACUAAUGGAUUGAAACCUCAAGAUUUUGAACGGAAAAGAAAAUAACUUGGUAAAUGGAUCGACUGAAAACAAACUAAAGAAUCUCUUCCUAUUUAUCAUCCUCUUUUCAUCUUAUUUACCUUGUAUUCCUUUAAUGAACACAGACUUAAUAGGUUAACAUUGACAUAGAUCAUCUUGAUCAUCAUUGAUGAUAAAUAAUAGAUUAAAAAAUGUUGAUGGUACACAGAGAUAAAAAAGAGAACGGGAAAUUACCAGUUGACAUCAAUGAUCAAUACAAGGAUUGAAAGCAAAAUAUUGGUAAAGAGCUACAGUUGCAAAGGAUAAGAUGAAGGAAAGAAAAAAACUAUUUACAAUCACUACUCUACUUCUCCACCCACUACAACUAUUACUACUACGACUACUUGAUUGUAAGGGAAAAAAAGGAGAAGGUGUAUUCCAGUGUAAAUCAAAAAUCAGUUACUUUGGAAGUUUAUUCAAUUUACUUGAAUGGAUAUUGGGUGAAAAAUAUUCUUUCUGUAAUCUGACUUUUCUGGAAAAAGAAAGAAAAAUGUUUGGUUGAAGGAGCUGAUGAUGAUCGUGGUGGUGGUGUUGUUGAUAGUGAUAACACUUUGAUACAAUUUUCAACAAGAAAUUAACAGGCAAUCGCGAGAGGGGAUAAAAAGGAACACAACAAGCAUGUGGAAAUGAAAGACGAGAAGAAAAGGAAAGGAGGUAAAAUCGAGAAGCAAAGUGAAAAGAUGAAGAUAAGAAGAUAAAAUGACGUGAAGAGAUGGAGGUUAACAUAAAAAAAAGGAUGUCGGUUAAAUGAACUAUUACUGAUGCUCGAACUUGUUUUUUGAAUAAUAACAAGCUAAGCAAGGAUAAGGAUGGGCACGAACAUCAAUAUCAUGGAAGAAAAAGAAAAUCGUAUGGAACAAGAUAAGAUGAAAAUGAUGAUGGAGAAGAGUUUAUGAGAGAGUGAUAGAAAGAUUCGUCCUUUUUCAUACGAAGAUGAUGAUAAUGAUGAAGCAAGCAAGAAGAUGGAAGUAAUUUAGCUUACAACAAUUGAAUUCUCUCCAGGGUGUUAUGCAUCUAUGAGCUUUUCUUAGCUCUUAUUUUACCUCUUUCUCUCUUUCUCUUUCUCUCUUUCUCCCUUUCUUCCUGUCUUAAUCUUCCUUUUCCACCUCUACAACCAAGUAAUUCAGCUUUAGCAAUAUUAUCUAUACCUUUUCAUAAUAACUCUCAUCAUCUUUGUAUUACCUUAUAAUUUACUCUUUCUUUCCAUGUUUCUUUCUUCAGAUUUGAAACCUUAGAUACAAAGAAAGAAAAAGAGAAAGAAGGAUGUUGGUCACUUCUGAUCGUCUUUUCUUGAGGUCAAGGGUAAACUGUGUAAAUUGCUUUCUACUUCUAAAAAUAGUUUUAUGCGCAUUUUGAUUAUCCUCAUUGAAUUCUGUCUUCGCUCAUCAUCAUCAUCAUCAUCAUCUUUAGAUUCAAUUUUACUGUUACCCAAAAUUAGCUAUACACGAAAACCCAACCAAGUGGUCAGAAUUUUAUAUGACCAAAUGAAAUUCAUGUUGGACAAGCUUGUAACCCAUAAACAUUAAUGUGAUCUCUCAUCUUCCUAUUUACUAUCUCUCUCUUUUUUAUAUUCUUUUCUUAUUUUUAUAUUGUAACUUUUUUCACCUUUUCUUUUCGUUAUUUUUUAUUCACUAACAAUUUCUCAUUCAAAUUUACCUGUUCUACUUUCUCACUCCCCAAGUUUCCUUCCCCAUUCAUUAUCAUUCCCUUUAAACUCCUUGAUUAGUUUCUUUUUACCUUCUCGAUUCCAGGUAACUAUUGAUGAGAUUUCGUUUUAUUUCUUACAUAUCAUGGUUAUCAUGAUGAUUCCUUUUAUCUCCAUCUAUUCAGAGUUUCUUCUUUUUUUUGAAAUUCUUUUGCCUCCCUGUGCCUUGUUCCUCACAAAAUCAUCUUCGACAUUUUAACCAUUUAUCUUUAUCAUCUUUCUUUUUCCACUCUAAGGUUAAAAACUUGAUUCAUCCUCUUCAUCCUAAACCUUUGAAAAAUUAGCAAACAUAUUAAGUCAACUGAGAAUUCAGAGCUUUUAUCAGCAUCUCUUUUUUUCAUGAUAUUGUUUUAAUAACACAUAAAAAGGCACCAGCAAAGUUCACAAUCAGUGUUAACAGAUGAUUACUAUUACUAUUAUUGCCAAAAGGUGAACAAAAUGAAAAAAAGACACUGAGUAAGGUGGAGAAUGAUUAUUUCAUGUGAAGGUGAGAUUUUCCCCUCUCUCACUCACAUAAAAAAAACCUAUUAUAGCCUCAACUUGAAACUGGUCACACAAUUUCACCUUUUAAUUGAAUUGAAUUGAAUUUCCAACAUCUUAACCUUUCCAAUUGAUUCAGUUUCAAUUACAUUUCAUUUCUAAUCCUCAUUUUCUGUUUCCCUGUUGAUAGAUUUAACUUCAUCUUUCCAUAUAUAUUAACCUGAACAUCCAACUAAUCACAAAGUUGAUCUUAUUUUUUGUUUCUUCUUCAUGAUAAUAUAUCUUAUUCCCACUUCUCACUCAUUCACCACCUCGAUCAUACCCUCUCCCUCAUCCAUUUACUGUUUCCAACUACUACCAUUUACUUUGAUUCAAUGGUUUUCUCCUUAUUCUGAAACAAUAUUCUGAUGAUGAGAGAGAUAAAAAAAAAUCUGAUGAAUGAAUGGUAAAAGGAAAAUAUUAAAUUCAUUGCCAUUGAUUGGAAGAUCCAUCAUGAUGAUGCUGAUGGAGAAAAAAAAAUUGCAAUGAUGAGGUUAUUUCAAUGAUGCUGAUGAUGAUCAACAAUAAGGAUGAGGAUGAAUGGAAACAACAACAAGACUAAAGUUGGAUUGUGAAUAAUAUGAAUGGUUGAAUUGGUUAAAAGCCUAAGAUUGAACAUGAUUUUCCAAUGGUGAUUGGAAAUGUAAAUUGCUUGGUAAACGUUAUAUCAUCAGGGAAGGAAAAAAAAAAGUUUCAAAGGAAAAGCUAUUGACAAAUGAAUGAACUUUUUCCUGUGAAUAUAUUUACAUACUUUGCCACCCACUUUACAUGAAGUAUCCAAGAAAAUGUAUAUUUGUUUCCCUGUUUUCAUGAUGUUCACAGGGAUAGAAAAGUUAUCGUCUUCAAUUCCUAUUCAAUGAAUCAAAUCUUCACAUAAGAUUAGCUGUGAAAGUGAGAUUGUAAUAUAAGUUGAUUAUUGGGAUGAUAUAAUUUCACAUCUCAUUGGAAAAUGAUUUACAGAUUGUAACUCAAUAAUAAUAAUAAUGUUGAGUCUCACUUUUUUUUCAGAUAUUAUAUUUAUCAUCAUCAUUUGUUAUCAUCUUUUUUGUUAUGAUUAUUGUUAACACUUAACAUGGUCCGUUUAAAUUGUUUGGACAUUCAAUCAGGAUCAUUUUUCAUUUUCCUUUCAAAUGGUUGAAUUAAAAAUGAGAUUUGAAUCAACUUGACCAUUGACCAAGUUACAAUAAGGGUGAACAUUGAAACAUAUAACUAGACAAUCAUGUAUUUAGAUGGACAAAUACACUCUGAUGACCAGUAAACUUAACAGUGAUGAUGGUCAGUGUGUGUGUACAUAUACAUGAAAUUUAUUAUUUAUCCAUUCUAAGUCAAUGUAUGAAGAUACAGGGUGAUCAUGGGUGAGGUGUUGUCGUGGUGGUCAAGUUGUAGGCGUGGAGGGAAUGAUAUUUAUAUAAGACUCUGGUAUUUUCAAUGUUUAAUCGGAAAGAAAGUUUUGUUUUUGCUGAACUCACAGGAAUCAAGGAAGGACCAAAUCUAAGGA
This is a long non-coding RNA of Panonychus citri (citrus red mite), 5739 nucleotides long. RefSeq lists it as uncharacterized. The transcript is spliced from 13 exons. Lineage: Eukaryota; Metazoa; Arthropoda; Arachnida; Trombidiformes; Tetranychidae. The record is from RefSeq and is a predicted model, not a curated record.